This 199-nucleotide ribosomal RNA is filed under the name uncultured bacterium. RNAcentral's name for it is "partial 16S ribosomal RNA". It matches the Rfam family "Bacterial small subunit ribosomal RNA", at positions 328 to 539 of the family's 1533-position model. The record is from RNAcentral.
ACGCUCGACACCUACGGGAGGCAGCAGUGAGGGGAUAUUGGUCAAUGGGGGGAACCCUGAACCAGCAACGCCGCGUGAGGGAUGACGGUCUUCGGAUUGUAAACCUCUGUCCUCUGUGAAGAUAAUGACGGUAGCAGAGGAGGAAGCUCCGGCUAACUACGUGGCAGCAGCCGCGGUAAUCUGAGCGGGCUGGCAAGGC